GACAGAGGGUGCAAACGUUGUCCGGAAUUAUUGGGCGUAAAGCGCGCGCAGGCGGUCUUUUAAGUCUGAUGUGAAAGCCCACGGCUCAACCGUGGAGGGUCAUUGGAAACUGGGAGACUUGAGUGCAGAAGAGAAGGGCGGAAUUCCACGUGUAGCGGUGAAAUGCGUAGAGAUGUGGAGGAACACCAGUGGCGAAGGCGGCUCUUUGGUCUGUAACUGACGCUGAGGCGCGAAAGCGUGGGGAGCGAACAGG
Molecule: ribosomal RNA, 253 nt
Filed under: uncultured bacterium
Lineage: Bacteria
Description: partial 16S ribosomal RNA
Rfam family: Bacterial small subunit ribosomal RNA
Source: RNAcentral